GUAAAGCCGAAGAUGUAACGUCUUACUAUCAGCGUCUUGUGGCUGCCUUUCAGAUUCACAGCGGCCUCGAGGAGCCCACAGACAUAACCAACAUGACUGUGUGGGAAACUCAUCUCCAGAACGCCUUCAUGAACGGGCUUCUGCCAGACGUCAAAACUGCCACUGAACGCUCUGUCGUGGGUCUGGAAGAUGCAAGGCUCACAGAAGUGAAGGAGGACGAGACCCCCACCCAUCCAGAAAAUCUUAUGGGAGGGACCAACAGAGAGGACGAGCGUAUGGAAUAAAUCAUGGGAGAAGAGGGCGUUUUCAAGGAGGGGCCCCACGAGAAGUGCAACCCGAUGAAUGCUUCCUCUGUGGCAAAACAGGACAUUGGUACAAAGACUGCCCCUACCGUUCAAACCAGGUACGUCAGCCACGUGGACGACAGAGGGGG
Molecule: long non-coding RNA, 433 nt
Organism: Gasterosteus aculeatus aculeatus (three-spined stickleback)
Lineage: Eukaryota; Metazoa; Chordata; Actinopteri; Perciformes; Gasterosteidae
Source: Ensembl